RNAcentral lists this ribosomal RNA (403 nucleotides) under bacterium. RNAcentral describes it as "partial 16S ribosomal RNA". It matches the Rfam family "Bacterial small subunit ribosomal RNA", at positions 355 to 776 of the family's 1533-position model. The record is from RNAcentral.
UGGGGAAUAUUGCACAAUGGGGGAAACCCUGAUGCAGCGACGCCGCGUGAACGAAGAAGGUAUUCGUAUCGUAAAGUUCUGUCCUAUGGGAAGAUAAUGACAGUACCAUAGAAGAAAGCUCCGGCUAAAUACGUGCCAGCAGCCGCGGUAAUACGUAUGGAGCGAGCGUUGUCCGGAAUUAUUGGGCGUAAAGGGUACGCAGGCGGUUUAAUAAGUCGAAUGUUAAAGAUCGGGGCUCAACCCCGUAAAGCAUUGGAAACUGAUAAACUUGAGCAGUGGUGAGGAAAGUGGAAUUCCUAGUGUAGUGGUGAAAUACGUAGAUAUUAGGAGGAAUACCAGUAGCGAAGGCGACUUUCUGGACACAAACUGACGCUGAGGUACGAAAGCGUGGGGAGCAAACAGG